UACGUAGGGGGCUAGCGUUGUCCGGAAUCAUUGGGCGUAAAGCGCGCGUAGGCGGCCUCAUAAGUCCGUUGUGAAAGUCAAAGGCUCAACCUUUGAAAGCCGAUGGAUACUGUGAGGCUAGAGUCCGGAAGAGGCGAGUGGAAUUCCUGGUGUAGCGGUGGAAUGCGCAGAUAUCAGGAGGAACACCAAUUGCGAAGGCAGCUCGCUGGGACGUUACUGACGCUGAGACGCGAAAGCGUGGGGAGCAAACAGG
RNAcentral lists this ribosomal RNA (253 nucleotides) under uncultured bacterium. RNAcentral describes it as "partial 16S ribosomal RNA". It matches the Rfam family "Bacterial small subunit ribosomal RNA", at positions 524 to 776 of the family's 1533-position model. The record is from RNAcentral.